AUACGUAGGGUGCGAGCGUUGUCCGGAAUUACUGGGCGUAAAGAGCUCGUAGGUGGUUUGUCGCGUCGUCUGUGAAAUUCCGGGGCUUAACUCCGGGCGUGCAGGCGAUACGGGCAUAACUUGAGUACUGUAGGGGAGACUGGAAUUCCUGGUGUAGCGGUGAAAUGCGCAGAUAUCAGGAGGAACACCGGUGACGAAGGCGGGUCUCUGGGCAUUAACUGACUCUGAGGGGCGAAAGCAGGGGUAGCGAACAGGAUUGCAUACCCUGGUAGUCCAUGCCGUAAACGGUGGGCGCUAGGUGUAGGGGUCUUCCACGACUUCUGUGCCGUAGCUAACGCAUUAAGCGCCCCGCCUGGGGAGUACGGCCGCAAGGCUAAAACUCAAAUGAAUUGACGGGG
Molecule: ribosomal RNA, 398 nt
Filed under: uncultured bacterium
Lineage: Bacteria
Description: partial 16S ribosomal RNA
Rfam family: Bacterial small subunit ribosomal RNA
Source: RNAcentral